RNAcentral lists this signal recognition particle RNA (297 nucleotides) under Ipomoea nil (Japanese morning glory). Its description in RNAcentral is "Plant signal recognition particle RNA". It matches the Rfam family "Plant signal recognition particle RNA". The record is from Rfam by way of RNAcentral. Lineage: Eukaryota; Viridiplantae; Streptophyta; Magnoliopsida; Solanales; Convolvulaceae.
GGCCCGUGUCCACAAUGAAUUGUGGACACGGGUCCAGGGCAUAAUUUGCCUAGGAUGGUGGUAUAGUUGGGCUUACCUUUGAAGGCUGGGCUUGUGGUGCUAUCUACUGGCCUGCCCAUUCUAAGUUAUGAGUUCGGUCGUGGAGUUUCUGCGAAGGCGGAGGCUUCUCGACCAUUAGAUCGGAGGGCACCGCGUAGCAGCGACCACCUCUUCCUCUCUGCAGUGGAAGGAUUACGGGCCGGAGCAUCAAAAGUCCACUAACGCCUGAUGGGUUGUCCAAACUGAACCAUCAUCUUU